AACGAACGCUGGCGGCAUGCCUAACACAUGCAAGUCGAACGAGACCUUCGGGUCUAGUGGCGCACGGGUGCGUAACGCGUGGGAACCUGCCCUUAGGUUCGAAAUAACUCCCCGAAAGGGGUGCUAAUACCGGAUAAUGUCUUCGGACCAAAGAUUUAUCGCCUUUGGAUGGGCCCGCGUUGGAUUAGCUAGUUGGUAGGGUAAAAGCCUACCAAGGCGACGAUCCAUAGCUGGUCUGAGAGGAUGAUCAGCCACACUGGGACUGAGACACGGCCCAGACUCCUACGGAAGGCAGCAGUGGGGAAUAUUGGACAAUGGGCGAAAGCCUGAUCCAGCAAUGCCGCGUGAGUGAUGAAGGCCUUAGGGUUGUAAAGCUCUUUUACCCGGGAUGAUAAUGACAGUACCGGGAGAAUAAGCUCCGGCUAACUCCGUG
This 433-nucleotide ribosomal RNA is filed under the name uncultured bacterium. RNAcentral's name for it is "partial 16S ribosomal RNA". It matches the Rfam family "Bacterial small subunit ribosomal RNA", at positions 29 to 507 of the family's 1533-position model. The record is from RNAcentral.